This 301-nucleotide ribosomal RNA is filed under the name uncultured bacterium. RNAcentral's name for it is "partial 16S ribosomal RNA". It matches the Rfam family "Bacterial small subunit ribosomal RNA", at positions 509 to 807 of the family's 1533-position model. The record is from RNAcentral.
CAGCCGCCGCGGUGAUACGUAGGGUGCAAGCGUUAAUCGGAAUUACUGGGCGUAAAGCGUGCGCAGGCGGUUAUAUAAGACAGAUGUGAAAUCCCCGGGCUCAACCUGGGAACUGCAUUUGUGACUGUAUAGCUAGAGUACGGCAGAGGGGGAUGGAAUUCCGCGUGUAGCAGUGAAAUGCGUAGAUAUGCGGAGGAACACCGAUGGCGAAGGCAAUCCCCUGGGCCUGUACUGACGCUCAUGCACGAAAGCGUGGGGAGCAAACAGGAUUAGAUACCCCGGUAGUCCCUGUCUCUUAUAC